This 912-nucleotide ribosomal RNA is filed under the name Escherichia coli. RNAcentral describes it as "bacterial SSU rRNA". It matches the Rfam family "Bacterial small subunit ribosomal RNA", at positions 633 to 1533 of the family's 1533-position model. Lineage: Bacteria; Pseudomonadati; Pseudomonadota; Gammaproteobacteria; Enterobacterales; Enterobacteriaceae. The record is from RNAcentral.
CUGGCAAGCUUGAGUCUCGUAGAGGGGGGUAGAAUUCCAGGUGUAGCGGUGAAAUGCGUAGAGAUCUGGAGGAAUACCGGUGGCGAAGGCGGCCCCCUGGACGAAGACUGACGCUCAGGUGCGAAAGCGUGGGGAGCAAACAGGAUUAGAUACCCUGGUAGUCCACGCCGUAAACGAUGUCGACUUGGAGGUUGUGCCCUUGAGGCGUGGCUUCCGGAGCUAACGCGUUAAGUCGACCGCCUGGGGAGUACGGCCGCAAGGUUAAAACUCAAAUGAAUUGACGGGGGCCCGCACAAGCGGUGGAGCAUGUGGUUUAAUUCGAUGCAACGCGAAGAACCUUACCUGGUCUUGACAUCCACGGAAGUUUUCAGAGAUGAGAAUGUGCCUUCGGGAACCGUGAGACAGGUGCUGCAUGGCUGUCGUCAGCUCGUGUUGUGAAAUGUUGGGUUAAGUCCCGCAACGAGCGCAACCCUUAUCCUUUGUUGCCAGCGGUCCGGCCGGGAACUCAAAGGAGACUGCCAGUGAUAAACUGGAGGAAGGUGGGGAUGACGUCAAGUCAUCAUGGCCCUUACGACCAGGGCUACACACGUGCUACAAUGGCGCAUACAAAGAGAAGCGACCUCGCGAGAGCAAGCGGACCUCAUAAAGUGCGUCGUAGUCCGGAUUGGAGUCUGCAACUCGACUCCAUGAAGUCGGAAUCGCUAGUAAUCGUGGAUCAGAAUGCCACGGUGAAUACGUUCCCGGGCCUUGUACACACCGCCCGUCACACCAUGGGAGUGGGUUGCAAAAGAAGUAGGUAGCUUAACCUUCGGGAGGGCGCUUACCACUUUGUGAUUCAUGACUGGGGUGAAGUCGUAACAAGGUAACCGUAGGGGAACCUGCGGUUGGAUCACCUCCUUACCUUAAAGAAGC